CGGACGGGUGAGUAACGCGUGGGUAACCUGCCUCAUACAGGGGGAUAACAGUUAGAAAUGACUGCUAAUACCGCAUAAGCGCACAGGGAUGCAUGUCCUGGUGUGAAAAACUCCGGUGGUAUGAGAUGGACCCGCGUCUGAUUAGCUGGUUGGCGGGGUAACGGCCCACCAAGGCGACGAUCAGUAGCCGACCUGAGAGGGUGACCGGCCACAUUGGGACUGAGACACGGCCCAAACUCCUACGGAAGGCAGCAG
RNAcentral lists this ribosomal RNA (255 nucleotides) under uncultured bacterium. RNAcentral's name for it is "partial 16S ribosomal RNA". It matches the Rfam family "Bacterial small subunit ribosomal RNA", at positions 99 to 354 of the family's 1533-position model. The record is from RNAcentral.